Molecule: ribosomal RNA, 305 nt
Filed under: uncultured bacterium
Lineage: Bacteria
Description: bacterial SSU rRNA
Rfam family: Bacterial small subunit ribosomal RNA
Source: RNAcentral
CACCUACGGGGCGCAGCAGUGGGGAAUAUUGCACAAUGGGGGAAACCCUGAUGCAGCGACGCCGCGUGAGUGAAGAAGUAUCUCGGUAUGUAAAGCUCUAUCAGCAGGAAAGAUAAUGACGGUACCUGACUAAGAAGCCCCGGCUAACUACGGGCCAGCAGCCGCGGUAAUACGUAGGGGGCAAGCGUUAUCCGGAUUUACUGGGUGUAAAGGGAGCGUAGACGGCAGCGCAAGUCUGGAGUGAAAUGCUGGGGCUCAACCCAGGAACUGCUUUGGAAACUGUGCGGCUCGAGUGAGGGAGGGGG